Panicum hallii is the source of this 615-nucleotide long non-coding RNA. RefSeq lists it as uncharacterized. Lineage: Eukaryota; Viridiplantae; Streptophyta; Magnoliopsida; Poales; Poaceae. The transcript has 3 exons. The record is from RefSeq and is a predicted model, not a curated record.
AGCAGCCUUAUAAAUAUGGUAGGGCCUGUUGCUACAUCACCCGUUAUAACAGGCUGUUCUACCCGUGAAACAGAGCAUAGUGCCACCCAAAAAAGGGCUCGUGCGACACCUGGAAAAAAAACAGCAAAAAGGCUUUUUGCGGAUGAGGAUGCCAAGAAAGAUGAUAAGGAUUAUUCUUCAGCUGCCACUUCUGAGACUAGAUCAGUUGAAGAAGAUGCUUAAUCGUAGGAUAUAAGACGCAUGAUCUGCUUUUGUGUAUGUCGGAGGGAUGUACAGGAGAUGUGUUCGUCAGUUGUUGAGUUUGGCAUCGAACUGCUAAUGUUCAACAAAUUGGCCAUUAUGAUGAUCGUUUGCAUUUUGAGAUAAUCAUAACUCUGGAUUGUAUAAUUUGCUCCUUCCUUUAUCAGCAUGACCUAAUUUACUGCACUGUUAGAUUAUUUUGGAUCAGCAUCCUAAUCUACCAACUAAAUGUUUGGUGGCCAUGAAUUAUGAUCUUUUCAUGUAAUAUAUUGCUGGACAGAACCUUAAUGGCUGCAGCGAAACUAAGAUGUGUAUUUGUAUUGUAAGUUGCGUGUGCUUUAAACAAAAAGAGAGUUGUCAUGUUAUUUGUCUUUA